This 76-nucleotide transfer RNA is filed under the name Candidatus Berkelbacteria bacterium. Its description in RNAcentral is "tRNA-Asp". It matches the Rfam family "tRNA". From Rfam's summary of the family: Transfer RNA (tRNA) molecules are approximately 80 nucleotides in length. Their secondary structure includes four short double-helical elements and three loops (D, anti-codon, and T loops). Lineage: Bacteria; Candidatus Berkelbacteria. The record is from RNAcentral.
GCACCCGUAGCUUAGUCUGGCUUAAAGCGCCUCCCUGUCACGGAGGAGAUCGCCGGUUCGAAUCCGGUCGGGUGCG